UAGGAUAUGGUGUAUUUGGUAGCACGAAGAUUUUUGGAUUCUUAAGGUUAGGUUCGAUUCCUAAAAUUCUAG
RNAcentral lists this transfer RNA (72 nucleotides) under Zenkerella insignis (Cameroon scaly-tail). RNAcentral describes it as "tRNA-Gln". It matches the Rfam family "tRNA". From Rfam's summary of the family: Transfer RNA (tRNA) molecules are approximately 80 nucleotides in length. Their secondary structure includes four short double-helical elements and three loops (D, anti-codon, and T loops). Lineage: Eukaryota; Metazoa; Chordata; Mammalia; Rodentia; Anomaluridae. The record is from RNAcentral.